This 234-nucleotide ribosomal RNA is filed under the name uncultured bacterium. RNAcentral describes it as "partial 16S ribosomal RNA". It matches the Rfam family "Bacterial small subunit ribosomal RNA", at positions 1269 to 1500 of the family's 1533-position model. The record is from RNAcentral.
GGAUCUCUUAAAGCCGUUCUCAGUUCGGACUGUAGGCUGCAACUCGCCUACACGAAGCUGGAAUCGCUAGUAAUCGCGGAUCAGCACGCCGCGGUGAAUACGUUCCCGGGCCUUGUACACACCGCCCGUCACACCAUGAGAGUCUGUAACACCCAAAGCCGGUGGGAUAACCUUUAUAGGAGUCAGCCGUCUAAGGUAGGACAGAUGAUUAGGGUGAAGUCGUAACAAGGUACC